This 253-nucleotide ribosomal RNA is filed under the name uncultured bacterium. Its description in RNAcentral is "partial 16S ribosomal RNA". It matches the Rfam family "Bacterial small subunit ribosomal RNA", at positions 524 to 776 of the family's 1533-position model. The record is from RNAcentral.
UACGGGGAGGGCAAGCGUUGUUCGGAAUUACUGGGCGUAAAGGGUUCGUAGGUGGCCAACUAAGUCAGACGUGAAAUCCCUCAGCUUAACUGGGGAACUGCGUCUGAGACUGGAUGGCUUGAGUGCAGGAGAGGAACGCGGAAUUCCAGGUGUAGCGGUGAAAUGCGUAGAUAUCUGGAGGAACACCGGUGGCGAAGGCGGCGUUCUGGACUGCUACUGACACUGAGGAACGAAAGCCAGGGGAGCAAACGGG